GAUGAACGCUGACAGCAUGCUUAACACAUGCAAGUCAACCUGAACUUCCGUUUGGGUGGCGGACGGGUGAGUCACGCGUACAGAACUUGCCUCACAGUUAGGGACAACAUUCGGAAACGAAUGCUAAUACCUGAUAUUAUGAUUAUAUGGCAGCGUAUUAUUAUGAAAGUGAUCUGCGCUGUGAGAGGGCUUUGCGUCCCGUUAGCUAGUUGGAGAGGUAACGGCUCACCAAGGCGAUGGUGGGUAGACGGCCUGAGAGGGAGAUCGGCCACACGGGGACGGAGAGACGCACGUUACUGCGACGGGAGGCAGGAGUGAGUAAUGUAGGAUAGAGGACCAAGAGUAGGAUCCAGCAAUUAUGUGUGCAGGAUGAAGUUGUUCGGAAUGUAAAGUGGUUUCAGUUGGGAGGAAAAUAAUGACGGUACCAGGAGAAGAAGUGACGGCUAACUACGUG
RNAcentral lists this ribosomal RNA (454 nucleotides) under uncultured bacterium. Its description in RNAcentral is "partial 16S ribosomal RNA". It matches the Rfam family "Bacterial small subunit ribosomal RNA", at positions 28 to 507 of the family's 1533-position model. The record is from RNAcentral.